RNAcentral lists this unclassified non-coding RNA (218 nucleotides) under Hevea brasiliensis (rubber tree). Lineage: Eukaryota; Viridiplantae; Streptophyta; Magnoliopsida; Malpighiales; Euphorbiaceae. The record is from RNAcentral.
UAGAGAUCGUGGCGCUUUACGUCGACAUAGGAGGUGUAGCGCGGGAUGGGCUUGCGGGUGACGCGGUGCUUCUCGAAGUUGUCAUCUUUGUCCAGCCAGCUGCAUAGGUCCUUCUGCGAGGAAGUCUGGAGCCCGCCGCGGUAUUUGUACAGCAGGAUUGGAGUCUCGUCGUGUUCGUCAAGCCUAUAUUUCUCCGACGCGCUGCUUGUCGACGUAUG